Molecule: non-coding RNA, 111 nt
Organism: Caligus rogercresseyi
Lineage: Eukaryota; Metazoa; Arthropoda; Copepoda; Siphonostomatoida; Caligidae
Source: the annotation of a GenBank genome assembly
ACGGCAAUAUCAUGUUGAAAGCACCAGUUCUCGUCCGAUCACUGAAGUUAAGCGCCUUCUAGAAUUAAUCGUCCAUUUUUACCCUUCAGGAUGAAGAUCUCUAUUUUAUCC